GGUGGGGUAACGGCUCACCUAGGCGACGAUCCCUAGCUGGUCUGAGAGGAUGACCAGCCACACUGGAACUGAGACACGGUCCAGACUCCUACGGGAGGCAGCAGUGGGGAAUAUUGCACAAUGGGCGCAAGCCUGAUGCAGCCAUGCCGCGUGUAUGAAGAAGGCCUUCGGGUUGUAAAGUACUUUCAGCGGGGAGGAAGGGAGUAAAGUUAAUACCUUUGCUCAUUGACGUUACCCGCAGAAGAAGCACCGGCUAACUCCGUGCCAGCAGCCGCGGUAAUACGGAGGGUGCAAGCGUUAAUCGGAAUUACUGGGCGUAAAGCGCACGCAGGCGGUUUGUUAAGUCAGAUGUGAAAUCCCCGGGCUCAACCUGGGAACUGCAUCUGAUACUGGCAAGCUUGAGUCUCGUAGAGGGGGGUAGAAUUCCAGGUGUAGCGGUGAAAUGCGUAGAGAUCUGGAGGAAUACCGGUGGCGAAGGCGGCCCCCUGGACGAAGACUGACG
Molecule: ribosomal RNA, 502 nt
Filed under: Escherichia sp.
Lineage: Bacteria; Pseudomonadati; Pseudomonadota; Gammaproteobacteria; Enterobacterales; Enterobacteriaceae
Description: bacterial SSU rRNA
Rfam family: Bacterial small subunit ribosomal RNA
Source: RNAcentral